GACGAACGCUGGCGGCGUGCUUAACACAUGCAAGUCGAACGGAAAGGCCCUGCUUUUGUGGGGUGCUCGAGUGGCGAACGGGUGAGUAACACGUGAGUAACCUGACCUUGACUUUGGGAUAACUUCAGGAAACUGGGGCUAAUACCGGAUCGGAGCUCCUGCUGCAUGGUGGGGGUUGGAAAGUUUCGGCGGUUGGGGAUGGACUAGCGGCUUAUCAGCUUGUUGGUGGGGUAGUGGCUGACCAAGGCUUUGACGGGUAGCCGGCCUGAGAGGGUGACCGGCCACAUUGGGCCUGAGAUACGGCCCAGACUCGUACGGGAGGCAGCAGUGGGGAAUAUUGCACAAUGGGCGGAAGCCUGAUGCAGCGACGCCGCGUGCGGGAUGACGGCCUUCGGGUUGUAAACCGCUUUCGCCUGUGACGAAGCGUGAGUGACGGUAAUGGGUAAAGAAGCACCGGCUAACUACGUG
Molecule: ribosomal RNA, 468 nt
Filed under: uncultured bacterium
Lineage: Bacteria
Description: partial 16S ribosomal RNA
Rfam family: Bacterial small subunit ribosomal RNA
Source: RNAcentral